This 147-nucleotide non-coding RNA is filed under the name Escherichia coli. RNAcentral's name for it is "EFASI RNA". The stretch from base 21 to 147 matches the Rfam family "EFASI RNA". RNAcentral also lists the same sequence under 1 other name. Lineage: Bacteria; Pseudomonadati; Pseudomonadota; Gammaproteobacteria; Enterobacterales; Enterobacteriaceae. The record is from RNAcentral.
CAGGCGUAAUACCACAACCCUUAAGUUAGCGCUUAUGGGCUAGAAGCCCCGGAGAUACCCCUGCUUCGUCAGGCAGUCUGUACCGCGUACAGCCUGAAACUCCCUAAACCUCAACAACCAGCCACUCCGGCGUGAAGGUAUCGUUCU